Molecule: ribosomal RNA, 492 nt
Filed under: uncultured bacterium
Lineage: Bacteria
Description: partial 16S ribosomal RNA
Rfam family: Bacterial small subunit ribosomal RNA
Source: RNAcentral
AGUGAACGCUGGCGGUAGGCCUAACACAUGCAAGUCGAGCGGCAGCACAGUAAGAGCUUGCUCUUACGGGUGGCGAGUGGCGGACGGGUGAGGAAUACAUCGGAAUCUACUUUUUCGUGGGGGAUAACGUAGGGAAACUUACGCUAAUACCGCAUACGACCUACGGGUGAAAGCAGGGGAUCUUCGGACCUUGCGCGAUUGAAUGAGCCGCUGUCGGAUUAGCUAGUUGGCGGGGUAAAGGCCCACCAAGGCGACGAUCCGUAGCUGGCCUGAGAGGAUGAUAAGCCACACUGGAACUGAGACACGGUCCAGACUCCUACGGGAGGCAGCAGUGGGGAAUAUUGGACAAUGGGCGCAAGCCUGAUCCAGCCAUACCGCGUGGGUGAAGAAGGCCUUCGGGUUGUAAAGCCCUUUUGUUGGGAAAGAAAAGCAGCAGGUUAAUACCCCGCUGUUCUGACGGUACCCAAAGAAUAAGCACCGGCUAACUUCGUG